RNAcentral lists this long non-coding RNA (223 nucleotides) under Salvia miltiorrhiza (redroot sage). Its description in RNAcentral is "long non-coding RNA (SMIL_LNC001181)". Lineage: Eukaryota; Viridiplantae; Streptophyta; Magnoliopsida; Lamiales; Lamiaceae. The record is from RNAcentral.
GCAAAGUCAUGUUAGAUGUUAGUAGUUAGUUCCCCAUCCACUCCAAGAACCACCUUAUCUCUCCAUUCACCAAAUCCACCUUAUAUCACCAAUCUCCAAUUCGCUCCCAAGAGGGAUCGAACCCGGGUCACUUCACUUAAGUGAGGACCUGGUGGCCAGUGGGCUAAGCCCCCUGGUUCUGGUAUAUACAUUCUAAUAAGAUAUUCUAAAAAGAUUUAAAGUA